UGGGGAAUUUUGGACAAUGGGCGCAAGCCUGAUCCAGCAAUGCCGCGUGCAGGAUGAAGGCCUUCGGGUUGUAAACUGCUUUUGUACGGAACGAAACGGCUCUGUCUAAUACAUGGGGCUAAUGACGGUACCGUAAGAAUAAGCACCGGCUAACUACGUGCCAGCAGCCGCGGUAAUACGUAGGGUGCGAGCGUUAAUCGGAAUUACUGGGCGUAAAGCGUGCGCAGGCGGUUAUAUAAGACAGAUGUGAAAUCCCCGGGCUCAACCUGGGAACUGCAUUUGUGACUGUAGAGCUGGAGUACGGCAGAGGGGGAAGGAAGUCCGCGUGUAGCAGUGAAAUGCGUAGAUAUGCGGAGGAACACCGAUGGCGAAGGCAAUCCCCUGGGCCUGUACUGACGCUCAUGCACGAAAGCGUGGGAAGCAAGCA
RNAcentral lists this ribosomal RNA (427 nucleotides) under uncultured bacterium. RNAcentral's name for it is "bacterial SSU rRNA". It matches the Rfam family "Bacterial small subunit ribosomal RNA", at positions 355 to 774 of the family's 1533-position model. The record is from RNAcentral.